UACAGAGGUCUCAAGCGUUGUUCGGAAUCACUGGGCGUAAAGGGUGUGUAGGCGGCGUGAAAAGUCAGAUGUGAAAUCUGGGGGCUCAACCUUCAAAUAGCAUCCGAUACUGUCAUGCUGGAGGUCUGUAGAGGAGUCUGGAAUUCUCGGUGUAGCAGUGAAAUGCGUAGAUAUCGAGAGGAACACUUGUUGCGAAAGCGAGACUCUGGGCAGAAACUGACGCUGAAACACGAAGGCCAGGGUAGCGAACGGG
This 253-nucleotide ribosomal RNA is filed under the name uncultured bacterium. RNAcentral describes it as "partial 16S ribosomal RNA". It matches the Rfam family "Bacterial small subunit ribosomal RNA", at positions 524 to 776 of the family's 1533-position model. The record is from RNAcentral.